Molecule: ribosomal RNA, 305 nt
Filed under: Pseudomonas aeruginosa
Lineage: Bacteria; Pseudomonadati; Pseudomonadota; Gammaproteobacteria; Pseudomonadales; Pseudomonadaceae
Description: bacterial SSU rRNA
Rfam family: Bacterial small subunit ribosomal RNA
Source: RNAcentral
CCGCAACGAGCGCAACCCUUAUCCUUUGUUGCCAGCGGUCCGGCCGGGAACUCAAAGGAGACUGCCAGUGAUAAACUGGAGGAAGGUGGGGAUGACGUCAAGUCAUCAUGGCCCUUACGACCAGGGCUACACACGUGCUACAAUGGCAUAUACAAAGAGAAGCGACCUCGCGAGAGCAAGCGGACCUCAUAAAGUAUGUCGUAGUCCGGAUUGGAGUCUGCAACUCGACUCCAUGAAGUCGGAAUCGCUAGUAAUCGUAGAUCAGAAUGCUACGGUGAAUACGUUCCCGGGCCUUGUACACACCG